RNAcentral lists this ribosomal RNA (518 nucleotides) under uncultured Glomus. RNAcentral describes it as "SSU rRNA". It matches the Rfam family "Eukaryotic small subunit ribosomal RNA", at positions 569 to 1089 of the family's 1831-position model. Lineage: Eukaryota; Fungi; Glomeromycota; Glomeromycetes; Glomerales; Glomeraceae. The record is from RNAcentral.
AGCAGCCGCGGUAAUUCCAGCUCCAAUAGUGUAUAUUAAAGUUGUUGCAGUUAAAAGGCUCGUAGUUGAAUUUCGGGAUUAGUGCGCUGGUCAUGCCUUUGGUAUGUACUGGUGUUACUGAUUUCUACCUUCUGAAGAACCGUUAUGUCAUUCAUUUGGUGUGGCGGGGAAUCAGGACUGUUACUUUGAAAAAAUUGAGUGUUUAAAGCAGGCUCACGCUUGAAUACAUUAGCAUGGAAUAAUGAAAUAGGACGUUUGACCCUAUUUUGUUGGUUUCUAGGAUCGAUGUAAUGAUUAAUAGGGAUAGUUGGGGGCAUUAGUAUUCAAUUGUCAGAGGUGAAAUUCUUGGAUUUAUUGAAGACUAACUACUGCGAAAGCAUUUGCCAAGGAUGUUUUCAUUAAUCAAGAACGAAAGUUAGGGAUCGAAGACGAUCAGAUACCGUCGUAGUCUUAACCAUAAACUAUGACCGACUAGGGAUCGGAUGGAUGUUAAUUUUUAUGUACUCAUUCGGCGUCCG